AUGUGCUAAUAAAGAAAUUGCCUUCAGAGCUGCACAGUCUCAUACUUGAUAGAUUCUACUCUUCAGAUUCCAUAUUGGAUCGAAUUGGUAGUUUUUUCGCCACUUUAGAAGAAAUUGAAAUCCGAAACCAUGAUUCGCUCAAGUGCUUCCCACUAGACUUGUUCCCAAGGUUGAAGAGUCUCCGCAUCACUAGAUGUCCCAUUCUGGAAUCCCUUUCCACACACGAGACAACCCAUGAGAAUUUCACAUCUCUCAGUUCCUUGGAGAUCAGGGAGUGUGCUAAUUUAGUAUCUUUUCUCAAAGGAAGAUUACCUGCCCCUAAUUUGGCACGGCUUCUAUUGCUAGGUUGCUCAAACGUGG
Molecule: unclassified non-coding RNA, 360 nt
Filed under: Hevea brasiliensis (rubber tree)
Lineage: Eukaryota; Viridiplantae; Streptophyta; Magnoliopsida; Malpighiales; Euphorbiaceae
Source: RNAcentral